CGUAUCACAUGACUGUCCUUCACUCUCUGUUCUUUCCUGGUAAACUGAUCCAGCUGCUGGUGCUAGAGUAACAUUGUGAAUGAUUCAUCAGCUCAUUCUGACCAAAACAUGGAACAGGAAGUUGUGGCUGGUCUUUCCCAAGCUCUAGGAAAGUCAUCAGGAGCAGAGUUUUCUCCUGAGGACGUCAGCGUCUUAUACAGGAAAGUUUUUCAUAUUUCCUCUAGCUCAGGUGAAGCACGGGCAGCCAUAAAGAAGAUUACAGGAUGUGAUCGCUGGUCAUGUGUUGGUGAAAAAGUUCUUGAUGUUCUUGUAGAAAUGGAACGAGAGAGGGAAAAGAAAGAAAUGCUCUUCUGGGACCUUCAACUCCUCAAUGCUAGAAGCCUUCGUCAUCAUGUGAUGAAUUAUCUGCACAAAAAUGCAAAAAUAACUCCCAGCUUUGGCUCUGCGUCCUCACAACUGUUUUCAGGUGAAAUCAACAGUUUCCAGUUCUGUGAGAAAAGGACAAACACGAGGAAAAUCAAAAAAGCAGCAAAGCUACGUUGGGCCAGGUUGGCAUCUGAAGGUGUGCGAAGCUUGCUGUCUCGUUGCUGUCAAACAUCUUACGUUACAAACCCA
Molecule: long non-coding RNA, 615 nt
Filed under: Gouania willdenowi (blunt-snouted clingfish)
Lineage: Eukaryota; Metazoa; Chordata; Actinopteri; Blenniiformes; Gobiesocidae
Description: lncRNA (ENSGWIG00000007119.1)
Source: RNAcentral